UACAGAGGUCUCAAGCGUUGUUCGGAUUCAUUGGGCGUAAAGGGUGUGUAGGUGGCGCGCUAAGUCGGGUGUGAAAUUUCGAAGCUUAACUCCGAAACUGCAUUCGAUACUGGCGUGCUUGAGGACUGGAGAGGAGACUGGAAUUCAUGGUGUAGCAGUGAAAUGCGUAGAGAUCAUGAGGAAGACCAGUGGCGAAGGCGGGUCUCUGGGCCGAUACUGACGCUGAGGAGCGAAAGCGUGGGGAGCGAACAGG
This 253-nucleotide ribosomal RNA is filed under the name uncultured bacterium. Its description in RNAcentral is "partial 16S ribosomal RNA". It matches the Rfam family "Bacterial small subunit ribosomal RNA", at positions 524 to 776 of the family's 1533-position model. The record is from RNAcentral.